This is a long non-coding RNA of Crotalus tigris (Tiger rattlesnake), 1600 nucleotides long. RefSeq lists it as uncharacterized. Lineage: Eukaryota; Metazoa; Chordata; Lepidosauria; Squamata; Viperidae. The record is from RefSeq and is a predicted model, not a curated record. The transcript is spliced from 4 exons.
AAGUAAACUGACCUGCUAACUUAGGGAAAAUGCAGAUGAACACAAUAGCAGCCUUACUGUAUCAAUAGCUCACCCAUGACCGAGAAAAUAAAUCAAAGAAGUAAAUUAAAUUUCAAUUAGUUGUUAGAUUGACCUCAUUUCCUUUUAUUGCCAAGGAUUACCCGACUUCCGUCUAUCUCCUGAGCGGCUAUUAAUGUUGUUUCAAUAACGUAUCAUCUGCAUUUAACUGAAAUACAUAAGGCUGUUGACUAAACUGUACCAUUACUUGAUUGUUUUAUUUUAUUAUUAUUUAAAUCAACUCCACAUUUCUCAUUUUAGAAAUUCAUUUCAAUGAGAGAAUAUACUGCAGCGGAUGUUGGUUAACCUGUCAUAUGUGGACAAAGCAUUGCCCCAGAUUUGAGUUGAUAAUACCCAGAAUAUCUUGCCUGAGAUAAAGGAGAAGGAAAACCAUUUUACAAAGGCAAUCUCCUUCUUUGGCAGUGACAGUAACAUUGUUCCAGAUAUCGCCCAAUGGGAGUACUGCUGUCAAGACAUAUUGCAUAGGAGUUUAAUUGAAGUGUGGGAAGCCGGGGAGUUUGCAGACAGCUGGAGAUGUAGUUUUUCAAUGAAUCUACAAGGGAUAGACAUAUGCACCCAUCCAUCCCUUGCCUUCAAGUCAGUAUUGAUUCCUGGUGAUUGCCUGGACAAGUUCCUGCAAUUUUCAUAUGUGGCUCGCCAUUGCCUCCUUCCUAGGCUGAGAGAGAAGGAUUGGCUCACUCGGCUGGCUUUGUGCUUAAGGCCGGAUUGAAAGUCAUGGUCCGGUCUCCCAGUUUCUGACCUGAUAUCUUAUCCAUUACAAGCUGUCUCUCAUUACAUUACAUUGAUACAUUUUGUUUCCAUAUCUGAUCAGGAUUUCAAAGCCAUCUACCAUGAGAUUCUUCACUAAUUUUAUCACUACUUCUUAUUCCUAUUACAAGGAAUAACUUCAUAACAUAUAUGAUUUGAAAGAGAAUUACUGAUCUAAAGUGACCCAAUAACUUUCAAUGGAUAAAGGUGGAUUUGAACUUCAGACUUCCUGAACCAAGAAUAUCUAGUUUUCUUCUCUUAAAUGUUGUUACUUACUGUAAUAGGAUGUAGUAAAUCUACUUUUUCCAUGUCAGUCCCUGCCCUACAGAACCCCAUUCCUCCCCACCCACCCCCCAGUAAUUGGUUAAGAGCCUACUUCCUAGCCUUCCAUAAGGCCUUGAAGAGUUGGUUCUUCCUUCAAGUGUUUCAGUGGAAUGAGACUGAAGUUGAAUGCUGACUUGGAGGGAAGUGUGGUCUUUGAGGUUCUGGAAAAUUUUGUUGUGUUUUUAUGGUAUUUGGUGUUUUUUACUGUUGUUUGUGAACUGUUCAGGUUUAUGGUACAUAAGAUGGGCAGCCAUAUUGUAUGUCUUUUAGAAAAACAGAUAAAUCAAUCCUAGUCAAAUAUCUUAACAACUACACCAGAUUUACGACAUUAGAAUGUCUAUACAGUCAUCUAGGUGAUGGUUGUCCCAAAGGUUCUUUUUCAAAAGGAUUUUGUUUUUCCUUGAAGACAUUUCACUUUUGAUCCAAGAAGCUUCUUUAGUUCUGACUGAAU